GAAAGAGUAAUGAUCUAUAUGAACUAUGAUUUUUCCUUGUUUAGGGCUCAACUGGUGUACCAGGACCACCUGGACCUGUGGGACCACCAGGGCCUCAGGGGAUCCGAGGUGGCCCUGGGCCAGAGGGGCCCUGUGGGGCUGAUGGGGACAGUGGACUGGAUGGCCCUUCAGGUCUAUCAGGGCCGAUGGUAAGCAGACAAAACAUGACAAAAUUGUUGUCUGUGUAAUAAAUACAUGUAUCAUACUUCUUUUUAUGUGUGUGUCACAGGGUGCACCAGGUUUUACUGGACAAGUUGGUGCUCAGGGAGCUAAUGGCUCAAGGGGAGACAUGGGACCUGCUGGCAGUGUCGGUCCCAUAGGCCCACAGGUAUAUAUUUUAUUAGGUUAUGUAUGCUGUGGUUUUUCAACUUGCUGGAAAUGUUUAGACACUGUGUUUGGUUCCUUCUUUUUUCGAACAGGGGCCUCCAGGUUUAGACGGACAGAUGGGACCUCCAGGACUCAGAGGACCUCAAGUGAGUAG
RNAcentral lists this long non-coding RNA (520 nucleotides) under Sparus aurata (gilthead seabream). RNAcentral describes it as "lncRNA (ENSSAUG00010026497.1)". The record is from RNAcentral. Lineage: Eukaryota; Metazoa; Chordata; Actinopteri; Spariformes; Sparidae.